AAUAAAAGUCCCCUAGCAUUCCUCCCAUCUCCCAGAGAUAAGCAGUGUCAAUACUUCCCACACCUGUGCUAUGGUCAUAUUCUUUACUCAGUUACCAAAAAGGUAUCAAACUCUUCUUUAGAUUUUUGUUUUGUGUUGUGUUACUUAACUCAGUAGGCUAGCCAUUUUUUAGCAUCAACGCAUGCAGAUCUACCUCAUUCUCUUCCUAUACACAUAUCAUAAUCUAUUUAAUCAUUUGAUUUUUAGAAAACGUCUUACUUAUUAUAAAGAGUACUGGAAUGUGUGUGUGUAGGGAAGGCAUGGUAUUUGCAUAUUUGAGUAUUUCAGCAGAACAGGUUUCUAGAAGUGGAAUGCUGAAACAAAGCUUGUUAUUCUCCAGAAAGAUUGUACCUAUGUCAACUUUUCCAAAGCUGACAGCCAGCCCUUUUUCAGAGUGAAGUCCCUGGAUAAACUGGUCUUGUUGCCUUUUAAGGAGACCCAAGAUCCUAUUAAUUGUGGGAGCAUCUCAAUUAAGAAAAAUUCCUCCUCUAUCAAAGGCCAUGGCCGCAGUCAAAAUACCUCCCAUCGAUUCUCAACUGACUCAGUUUCAACUUCUCGUCUCUGUGCCAGUACUUGACAGGAAAUGAAGCGUCACCCACAUAGCCCAGCCCACACCACCAGCAGGGUGACACUGAGAUGCCCCACAAGACUCCUCAUCCCCACAGGACAUCCAUGUGACUGCUGAGUCUGGCAUAGACCCACCGAUACUCCAUCAUGAACUUCACAGAGGUCAAUGGGUGAUCGAGUUCCUUCCCAAGCAGGCGGAGGGGAGGAAGGUUGCUUGGGCUUCUGGGGGGGCAGGGUCCUUGGUGCAGGCAGCCCUCUGACCCAGCAAUCUGAGCUAGGGUGGGAGGAGCUGAGGAGUUCAGAGCCCACAACCCCAAACAACAGCUGACACCCAAGGUCAGACCAUAUUGUGCACAAAUCCAGGCUGUAUUGGUCCCAGUUACAAGACUGCACUCACGAUCUCCCAUAAAAAGGGAGCACUCUGGUGCUGAUGACAUGUGUGUACACACA
Long non-coding RNA from Pipistrellus kuhlii (Kuhl's pipistrelle), 1056 nucleotides. RefSeq lists it as uncharacterized. The record is from RefSeq and is a predicted model, not a curated record. The transcript has 3 exons. NCBI's taxonomy places the organism in Eukaryota, Metazoa, Chordata, Mammalia, Chiroptera, Vespertilionidae.